This 63-nucleotide non-coding RNA is filed under the name Burkholderia sp. RNAcentral describes it as "Fluoride sequence". It matches the Rfam family "Fluoride riboswitch aptamer (crcB RNA motif)". Lineage: Bacteria; Pseudomonadati; Pseudomonadota; Betaproteobacteria; Burkholderiales; Burkholderiaceae. The record is from RNAcentral.
GAACCGCAGGGAGAUGGCAUCCUCCCCAAACCGCCCGAUCGGGCUGAUGACGCCUGCCCACGC